GAUGAACGCUGGCGGCGUGCCUAAUACAUGCAAGUCGAGCGAACGGACGAGAAGCUUUCUUCUCUGAUGUUAGCGGCGGACGGGUGAGUAACACGUGGAUAACCUACCUAUAAGACUGGGAUAACUUCGGGAAACCGGAGCUAAUACCGGCUAAUAUUUUGAACCGCAUGGUUCAAAAGUAAAAGACGGUCUUGCUGUCACUUUUAGAUGGAUCCGCGCUGCAUUAGCUAGUUGGUAAGGUAACGGCUUACCAAGGCAACGAUGCAUAGCCGACCUGAGAGGGUGAUCAGCCACACUGGAACUGAGACACGGUCCAGACUCCUACGGGAGGCAGCAGUAGGGAAUCUUCCGCAAUGGGCGAAAGCCUGACGGAGCAACGCCGCGUGAGUGAUGAAGGUCUUCGGAUCGUAAAACUCUGUUAUUAGGGAAGAACAUAUGUGUAAGUAACUGUGCACAUCUUGACGGUACCUAAUCAGAAAGCCACGGCUAACUACGUG
RNAcentral lists this ribosomal RNA (497 nucleotides) under uncultured bacterium. Its description in RNAcentral is "partial 16S ribosomal RNA". It matches the Rfam family "Bacterial small subunit ribosomal RNA", at positions 28 to 507 of the family's 1533-position model. The record is from RNAcentral.